GAGGACCUACGGGACGCAGCAGUGAGGAAUAUUGGUCAAUGGUCGGGAGACUGAACCAGCCAAGCCGCGUGAGGGAUGAAGGUACAGAGUAUCGUAAACCUCUUUUGUCAGGGAACAAAGGCGGGGACGUGUCCCCGGAUGAGUGUACCUGAAGAAAAAGCAUCGGCUAACUCCGUGCCAGCAGCCGCGGUAAUACGGAGGAUGCAAGCGUUAUCCGGAUUUAUUGGGGUUAAAGGGUGCGCAGGCGGUCUGUUAAGUCAGCGGUCAAAGCCCGGGGCUCAACCCCGGCCC
RNAcentral lists this ribosomal RNA (291 nucleotides) under uncultured bacterium. RNAcentral describes it as "partial 16S ribosomal RNA". It matches the Rfam family "Bacterial small subunit ribosomal RNA", at positions 333 to 621 of the family's 1533-position model. The record is from RNAcentral.